RNAcentral lists this ribosomal RNA (636 nucleotides) under Salmonella enterica subsp. enterica serovar Typhimurium. RNAcentral's name for it is "partial 23S ribosomal RNA". It matches the Rfam family "Bacterial large subunit ribosomal RNA", at positions 1 to 668 of the family's 2925-position model. The record is from RNAcentral. Lineage: Bacteria; Pseudomonadati; Pseudomonadota; Gammaproteobacteria; Enterobacterales; Enterobacteriaceae.
GGGUUGUGAGGUUAAGCGACUAAGCGUACACGGUGGAUGCCCUGGCAGUCAGAGGCGAUGAAGGGCGUGCUAAUCUGCGAUAAGCGCCGGUAAGGUGAUAUGAACCGUUAUAACCGGCGAUACCCGAAUGGGGAAACCCAGUGUGAUUCGUCACACUAUCAUUAACUGAAUCCAUAGGUUAAUGAGGCGAACCGGGGGAACUGAAACAUCUAAGUACCCCGAGGAAAAGAAAUCAACCGAGAUUCCCCCAGUAGCGGCGAGCGAACGGGGCGGAGCCCAGAGCCUGAAUCAGCAUGUGUGUUAGUGGAAGCGUCUGGAAAGGUGCGCGAUACAGGGUGACAGCCCCGUACACAAAAGCGCAUGUGCUGUGAGCUCGAUGAGUAGGGCGGGACACGUGGUAUCCUGUCUGAAUAUGGGGGGACCAUCCUCCAAGGCUAAAUACUCCUGACUGACCGAUAGUGAACCAGUACCGUGAGGGAAAGGCGAAAAGAACCCCGGCGAGGGGAGUGAAAAAGAACCUGAAACCGUGUACGUACAAGCAGUGGGAGCACAGGUUUACCUGUGUGACUGCGUACCUUUUGUAUAAUGGGUCAGCGACUUAUAUUCUGUAGCAAGGUUAACCGUAUAGGGGAGCCG